AAGCCUAGCUUCACUUGAAGAUACUUGAGCAUUCAGAAAUAAUUUGAUGGUAUUUUGAAUUAACUACUAUUUCAGGAUAUUGUCAUGGGUUUAUCUGGCACUAGAACAGUGCCUACAGAAGAAGCAAUUAGAAUCCUUAUAAGCGCAUAUGAAUCAUCUGAAAUUAACCAACAAGUUCAACAAGAAGUUGCAAUGCUAUCUAAGCAGGAGACUAGAUCAGUAGAUCAUAAGAGUACAGGUACAUGUUGAGGAUUGCAAGCCACUUGUUGAGGAUUGCUGUAGUUUUAAGAUUUUGCAAUCUACACGGUUGAUUUAAAAAUGUCAAAGUGUUUGUUUGUGUUUUAAGAUUAAGAAAUUUGUGUGGUGUUGAAUUUUGCUGUUUAGGCCUUUUCUAUUUAGGGGGUGAAAGCAUUGCUUAAUUGUUAUAUUGCAGAAAUGCAAGCAUUACUUGAGAAGGUUUAGGAAGAUGCAUGGAAAGCAAAGAAUAAUUCACAGUAUGAAUGAUUAUGCAGAGUUCCUAUUUCAGAGAUGGAAGCAAGAUAUUGAUGAUGAGGAUGAUCCAUCUUCAAGUGGGAGGCCAUCAUGGUUUAGAAAGCAAUAUACCGCUGGAGCCUCUGGAAAGCACAGGAAUAACGGUCAAGGAAGUCAUCGAUACAGAAGUAAGGGAGUCUGAAAUACUUAUGGUGUCAUAGAAUAUUUCAUAUGUAUCAUAUAGUUGUACGCUGAUUUCUUCUGUGGAAAUUUUCUAAUCGAAUCUGGUCCGGGAAACUUUUGUCUGCACAAGUAGAAUUUUGAGAGAUUAAAGAGCCAUAGACCAUGAAUUAAUUUUAUUUGAUGAUUUGAUCUAUCAUCAUAAGCUUUCUUAAAUGAGGACCGAAUUUCAGCAUUU
Molecule: non-coding RNA, 889 nt
Organism: Arachis ipaensis
Lineage: Eukaryota; Viridiplantae; Streptophyta; Magnoliopsida; Fabales; Fabaceae
Source: RefSeq, a predicted model, not a curated record